AAUUACUAUAAUUAUCAAAGUUCAGCUAAGAGAACUGAGCAAUUUACCAUGACCAAAGUAAUAAGGAACCCAACACAUGUAACAGCAGCAGCAGCAGCAGUGGCAGCAGCAUCAACAGCAGCAUAAUGUCACCAGUCAUCACAUCAACAAAAAUAUGUAGCAAUCAAGUGAGGUGGUUUGUUGGUGGAACAGUCGGAGGGUCAGACAAGAUGAUGUCUGUUGGUCCCUGUUUGGGUUCUGAUAUUAAAACCUACAAUAACACUGGUAACAA
This is a long non-coding RNA of Octopus bimaculoides (California two-spot octopus), 271 nucleotides long. NCBI's taxonomy places the organism in Eukaryota, Metazoa, Mollusca, Cephalopoda, Octopoda, Octopodidae. The record is from RefSeq and is a predicted model, not a curated record.